Molecule: long non-coding RNA, 893 nt
Filed under: Homo sapiens (human)
Lineage: Eukaryota; Metazoa; Chordata; Mammalia; Primates; Hominidae
Description: non-protein coding lnc-GALC-9:6
Source: RNAcentral
AAGGAGAAAUCCAGAGUGAAAUGAAAUAACGGUUUGGGGAGCAGAUGGUGCAAUAUCUCAUUCUUAAAAGUCGGAAUUAAAUCAUUGAUCCCAGAAGAAAGGGACCACCACAGUGCUACGGAAAACAGGAAUUGUGAGAAGUUAUGGGAUCCAUUUUAGCUUGAUUUACUCACAGACUCCUUAAGCACACUUCAUAAGAUGAGGAAACUGAGACACUGGAAGAGGAAGUAACUUGCCCAAUGUCACUCAGCCAGGAAGAGGUGGAACCCAGCAUUGAAAUCCAGACAGUCUAACUCCAAAACAAAUAAACAAUACCACCACACUUUUAUCUUCUAGGCUAUACAUUUCUAAUGGCCAAUGAAGAAAACAAACUGAAAACAAAAUUCCUCCUUCCUGCUCUUGCUUAUUCCUAAUGGCUGUUCUUUUUAGCUCAUGUAGAAAAUAAAGUAGUAACAUGUUUCAGUACUUAUUGUAGCUCUAGUAAUUUCAGCUUGUAAAUUUGCUUUGGAAACCUUAGUGUUUAAAUAUUAAUCAAACAGAUGCAACUUUCCAAGCAACUGUUGUCAGAGAAAGAUCAACAUUCGUUAGAUUUUUACUUACUGACAAGUUAAAAAUAAGAUUAUGGUAGCUUUCCUACCUCCUGAAAAUCUGUUGCUCUUUAAGCCCCUCGUCAGAUUCAAAAGAAAUAUUUUGCACUCAACUUUAAAGCAGAGAUAUAUAAAAAUCAGCAAAUAAAUGAAAAAGUGAUUAAAUUCUUUAUUAAAGAUUUACCAAAAAAUAAUCCUUUAACUAUGUAAUCCUACAAUUGUUUUCAAAUACAAAUGAUUUUCCCCAUGUUUAGAUGUAUGUAUUUAAUGAAUACAACUCAGUAUAAUGAUCUUCCUAAAAAUGCC